GAUGAACGCUAGCUACAGGCUUAACACAUGCAAGUCGAGGGGCAGCAUGGAAGAAGCUUGCUUCUUCUGAUGGCGACCGGCGCACGGGUGCGUAACGCGUAUCAAACCUGCCUCAUACUCGGGGAUAGCCUUGCGAAAGUAAGAUUAAUACCCGAUGUUGUUAUGUUACCGCAUGGUGACAUAACCAAAGAUUUAUCGGUAUGAGAUGGUGAUGCGUCCGAUUAGGUAGUAGGCGGGGUAACGGCCCACCUAGCCUUCGAUCGGUAGGGGUUCUGAGAGGAAGGUCCCCCACACUGGAACUGAGACACGGUCCAGACUCCUACGGGAGGCAGCAGUGAGGAAUAUUGGUCAAUGGACGAAAGUCUGAACCAGCCAAGUAGCGUGCAGGAUGACGGCCCUCUGGGUUGUAAACUGCUUUUAGUUGGGAAUAAAAAAGAGGACGUGUCCUCU
Molecule: ribosomal RNA, 450 nt
Filed under: Alloprevotella sp. oral taxon 473
Lineage: Bacteria; Pseudomonadati; Bacteroidota; Bacteroidia; Bacteroidales; Prevotellaceae
Description: bacterial SSU rRNA
Rfam family: Bacterial small subunit ribosomal RNA
Source: RNAcentral